ACAAGUGGAAAGAUUUGUCUGCUUGCAACCACACUAAAAAAUGCUAAAAUAAUUA
RNAcentral lists this non-coding RNA (55 nucleotides) under bovine gut metagenome. The record is from RNAcentral.